UACGUAGGGUGCGAGCGUUAAUCGGAAUUACUGGGCGUAAAGCGUGCGCAGGCGGCGCGUUAAGACAGGUGUGAAAGCCCCGAGCUUAACUUGGGAAUUGCGCUUGUGACUGGCGUGCUGGAGUGUGGCAGAGGGAGGUGGAAUUCCACGUGUAGCAGUGAAAUGCGUAGAGAUCGGGAGGAACAUCAGUUGCGAAGGCGGCUCUCUGGACCAGCACUGACACUGAGGCACGAAAGCGUGGGAAGCAAACAGG
This 253-nucleotide ribosomal RNA is filed under the name uncultured bacterium. RNAcentral's name for it is "partial 16S ribosomal RNA". It matches the Rfam family "Bacterial small subunit ribosomal RNA", at positions 524 to 776 of the family's 1533-position model. The record is from RNAcentral.